Molecule: ribosomal RNA, 475 nt
Filed under: uncultured bacterium
Lineage: Bacteria
Description: bacterial SSU rRNA
Rfam family: Bacterial small subunit ribosomal RNA
Source: RNAcentral
CGGCCCAGACUCCUACGGGGAGGCAGCAGUGGGGAAUUCUUGGACAAUGGGGGCAACCCUGAUCCAGCCAUGCCGCGUGAGUGAUGAAGGCCUUAAGGGUCGUAAAGCUCUUUCGCCAGGGAUGAUAAUGACAGUAUCUGGUAAAGAAACCCCGGCUAACUCCGUGCCAGCAGCCGCGGUAAUACGGAGGGGGUUAGCGUUGUUCGGAAUUACUGGGCGUAAAGCGCGCGUAGGCGGAUUGGAAAGUUGGGGGUGAAAUCCCGGGGCUCAACCCCGGAACUGCCUCCAAAACUAUCAGUCUAGAGUUCGAGAGAGGUGAGUGGAAUUCCGAGUGUAGAGGUGAAAUUCGUAGAUAUUCGGAGGAACACCAGUGGCGAAGGCGGCUCACUGGCUCGAUACUGACGCUGAGGGACGAAAGCGUGGGGAGCAAACAGGAUUAGAUACCCUGGUAGUCCACACCGUAAACGAUGUAUGC